RNAcentral lists this ribosomal RNA (464 nucleotides) under uncultured bacterium. RNAcentral's name for it is "partial 16S ribosomal RNA". It matches the Rfam family "Bacterial small subunit ribosomal RNA", at positions 338 to 795 of the family's 1533-position model. The record is from RNAcentral.
CCUACGGGCGGCAGCAGUGGGGAAUAUUGCGCAAUGGGCGAAAGCCUGACGCAGCGACGCCGCGUGAGGGAUGAAGGUCUUCGGAUCGUAAACCUCUGUCAGCAGGGAAGAACGGUCACUGUGCUAAUCAGCAGUGAAUUGACGGUACCUGCAAAGGAAGCACCGGCUAACUCCGUGCCAGCAGCCGCGGUAAUACGGAGGGUGCGAGCGUUAAUCGGAAUUACUGGGCGUAAAGCGCUCGUAGGCGGUAUGUCAAGUCAAGGGUGAAAUCCCCGCGCUCAACGUGGGAACUGCCUUUGAAACUGGCAAACUGGAGUGUGGGAGAGGAUAGUGGAAUUCCAGGUGUAGGAGUGAAAGCCGUAGAUAUCUGGAGGAACAUCAGUGGCGAAGGCGACUAUCUGGCACAUAACUGACGCUGAGGAGCGAAAGCGUGGGUAGCAAACAGGAUUAGAUACCCCUGUGUC